GACGAACGCUGGCGGCGUGCCUAAUACAUGCAAGUCGAACGCAGUGGGGACGGGUGAGUAACACGUGGGUAACCUCCCAUCAGAGGGGAUAACACUGGGAAACAGGUGCUAAACCGAUACGGAGGGAUGGACCCGCGGUGCAUUGGCUAGUUGGUGAGGUAACGGCUCACAAAGGCCACGCUGCAUCGCCGACCUGAGAGGGGGAUCGGCCACGCAGGGACUGUGACACGGCACAGACUCCUAGGAGAGGCAGCAGUAGGAAAUCUUCGGCAAUGGACUAAAGUCUGACCGGGCAUCGCCGCGUGAGUGAAGAAGGUCGUCGGAUCGGAAAACUCUGUUAUUAGAGAGGCGGUAUCUAACCAGAAAGCCACGGCUAACUACGUGCCAGCAGCCGCGGUAAUUC
Molecule: ribosomal RNA, 403 nt
Filed under: uncultured bacterium
Lineage: Bacteria
Description: partial 16S ribosomal RNA
Rfam family: Bacterial small subunit ribosomal RNA
Source: RNAcentral